UGGGGAAUUUUGGACAAUGGGCGAAAGCCUGAUCCAGCAAUGCCGCGUGUGUGAAGAAGGCCUUCGGGUUGUAAAGCACUUUUGUCCGGAAAGAAAUCCUUGGCUCUAAUACAGUCGGGGGAUGACGGUACCGGAAGAAUAAGCACCGGCUAACUACGUGCCAGCAGCCGCGGUAAUACGUAGGGUGCAAGCGUUAAUCGGAAUUACUGGGCGUAAAGCGUGCGCAGGCGGUUUGCUAAGAUCGAUGUGAAAUCCCCGGGCUCAACCUGGGAACUGCAUUGGUGACUGGCAGGCUAGAGUAUGGCAGAGGGGGGUAGAAUUCCACGUGUAGCAGUGAAAUGCGUAGAGAUGUGGAGGAAUACCGAUGGCGAGGGCAGCCCCCUGGGCCAAUACUGACGCUCAUGCACGAAAGCGUGGGGAGCAAACAGGAUUAGAUACCCUGGUAGUCCACGCCCUAAACGAUGUCAACUAGUUGUUGGGGAUUCAUUUCCUUAGUAACGUAGCUAACGCGUGAAGUUGACCGCCUGGGGAGUACGGUCGC
This 541-nucleotide ribosomal RNA is filed under the name uncultured bacterium. RNAcentral's name for it is "partial 16S ribosomal RNA". It matches the Rfam family "Bacterial small subunit ribosomal RNA", at positions 355 to 889 of the family's 1533-position model. The record is from RNAcentral.